This 407-nucleotide ribosomal RNA is filed under the name uncultured bacterium. Its description in RNAcentral is "partial 16S ribosomal RNA". It matches the Rfam family "Bacterial small subunit ribosomal RNA", at positions 28 to 526 of the family's 1533-position model. The record is from RNAcentral.
GACGAACGCUGGCGGCGUGCCUAAUACAUGCAAGUAGAAGCUAGUUGCGAACGGGUGAGUAACGCGUAGGAACCUGCCUCAUAGCGGGGGAUAACUACGCGAAAGCGUAGCUAAUACCGCAUACUAUUGGAGCGGCCGAUAUCGGAUUAGCUAGUUGGUGGGGUAACGGCUCACCAAGGCGACGAUCCGUAGCUGGUUUGAGAGGACGACCAGCCACACUGGGACUGAGACACGGCCCAGACUCCUACGGGAGGCAGCAGUGGGGAAUUUUGGACAAUGGGGGAAACCCUGAUCCAGCCAUCCCGCGUGUGCGAUGAAGGCCUUCGGGUUGUAAAGCACUUUUGGCAGGAAAGCGGUACCUGCAGAAUAAGCACCGGCUAACUACGUGCCAGCAGCCGCGGUAAUAC